This 108-nucleotide ribosomal RNA is filed under the name Bos taurus (domestic cattle). RNAcentral also lists the same sequence under 3 other names. The record is from RNAcentral. Lineage: Eukaryota; Metazoa; Chordata; Mammalia; Artiodactyla; Bovidae.
AUCUAUGUCCCUGCCACCCUGAACGCACCCAAUCUCAUCUGAUCUUAGAAGCUAAGCAGGGUCGGGCUUGGUUAGUACUUGGAUGGGAAAAAUUUAUUCUCACAGUUU